Molecule: small RNA, 28 nt
Filed under: Bombyx mori (domestic silkworm)
Lineage: Eukaryota; Metazoa; Arthropoda; Insecta; Lepidoptera; Bombycidae
Description: ovarian small RNA-683
Source: RNAcentral
UAAUUAAACUAAGAUGCUAUUGAGUGGA